Molecule: long non-coding RNA, 651 nt
Organism: Pyrus x bretschneideri (Chinese white pear)
Lineage: Eukaryota; Viridiplantae; Streptophyta; Magnoliopsida; Rosales; Rosaceae
Exons: 4
Source: RefSeq, a predicted model, not a curated record
UAAUUUAAAAUGGUGAAAUUUUGUUGAUUUUUGCGUUCAGUGUUCUGAGUGAUCAUCGAGCUGUGAUGGGUUAGUGUUGGAUUUGAUUCAAUUGAGGAAAAUGUGGUGGAGACAAUAAUUCCCAAAUCCUCGAGUUUUAUGAAUGCAUUCCAAUUGAUAGCCAUGUCAAAUGAUCUCGAUUUGUCAGGAUGAGAAAUAGAAGACAACAAGAAUUGGACCCAAGCAUACCGUUACUGAAACCAUGAAGAAAAUAGAAGCGGCUACAACGGAUGCGAGUAUUCUGUAGCAAGAACAAACAACUUCAGGAUGUAAAUGCAUGCAAAAAUUCCAAUGAAAACGUAAAUCACCAUAUCCAGGUAAAUCCGAAUUGUAGAUCAGACUUAUAUUACAAUUUGCUUUCUUUGUGAAAUUUUAUUGUAAUUUACACUAAAGUCUCUGGCUUUUGAAAUUCUAUAUGAAAUUGUGAAUGUUAUUCGGAAUCAAGUCCGGCCAAGUUCUUUACUAAAUAGUGUGAAAAUAUGCAUGAUGAAACUAAAUUACUUUUGUAUCAUCUAUUUUUACCUGUUAGCAUAACAGGAUUUAAAAUAUAGAAACAUACUGCUUAUAGGAUAUUAAGGUUGAAGUCAUUUAGUUCCAAAGAUGCCAUAACUA